Molecule: ribosomal RNA, 293 nt
Filed under: uncultured eukaryote
Lineage: Eukaryota
Description: partial 18S ribosomal RNA
Rfam family: Eukaryotic small subunit ribosomal RNA
Source: RNAcentral
GGUUGAUCCUGCCAGUAGUCAUAUGCUUGUCUCAAAGAUUAAGCCAUGCAUGUCUAAGUAUAAACAAUUUUAUACGGUGAAACUGCAGAUGGCUCAUUAAAUCAGUCAUAAUUUAUUUGAUGAUUACUUACUACAUGGAUAACCGUAGUAAUUCUAGAGCUAAUACAUGCGUAAAAUCCUGACUCUUGCGGGAAGGGAUGUAUUUAUUAGAUAAAAAAUCAAUGCGAGCGGGCAACCGUUCGGUUUGAGAUGAUUCAUAAUAACUGUUCGAAUCGCAUGGCUUCACGCCGGCG